AGAGUUUGAUCCUGGCUCAGGAUGAACGCUGGCGGCGUGUUUAACACAUGCAAGUCGAGCGAGAAGCUUCUCAGUUGAUUCUUCGGAUGAAACAGAGUUGCGGAAAGCGGCGGACGGGUGAGUAACGCGUAGGCAACCUGCCCCCUGCAGAGGGAUAGCCUCGGGAAACCGGGAUUAAAACCUCAUAAUGCGCGACUGAGACAUCUCAGAUGCGCCAAAGAUUUAUCGGCAGGGGAUGGGCCUGCGUCUGAUUAGUUAGUUGGUGGGGUAACGGCCUACCAAGGCGACGAUCAGUAGCCGACCUGAGAGGGUGAUCGGCCACAUUGGAACUGAGACACGGUCCAAACUCCUACGGGAGGCAGCGGUGGAGAAUCUUGCACAAUGGGCGAAAGCCUGAUGCAGCAACGCCGCGUGAAGGAUGAAGGCCCUUGGGUCGUAAACUUCUGUUCUAAGGGAAGAUAAUGACGGUACCUUAGGAGCAAGUCCCGGCUAACUACGUGCCAGCAGCCGCGGUAAUACGUAGGGGGCAAGCGUUAUCCGGAAUUAUUGGGCGUAAAGAGUACGUAGGUGGUUUCCUAAGCGAGGGGUUUAAGGCAAUGGCUUAACCAUUGUUCGCCCCCCGAACUGGGUUACUUGAGUGCUGGAGGGGAAAGCGGAAUUCCUAGUGUAGCGGUGAAAUGCGUAGAUAUUAGGAGGAACACCAGUGGCGAAGGCGGCUUUCUGGACAGUAACUGACACUGAGGUACGAAAGUGUGGGGAGCAAACAGGAUUAGAUACCCUGGUAGUCCACACCGUAAACGAUGAGCACUAGGUGUUGGGUUCGCAAGAACUCGGUGCCGCAGUUAACGCAUUAAGUGCUCCGCCUGGGGAGUACGUACGCAAGUAUGAAACUCAAAGGAAUUGACGGGGACCCGCACAAGCAGCGGAGCAUGUGGUUUAAUUCGAAGCAACGCGAAGAACCUUACCAGGACUUGACAUCCCUCUGACCGGCCAGAUAACGACGGCCUUUCUUCGGACAGAGGUGACAGGUGGUGCAUGGUUGUCGUCAGCUCGUGUCGUGAGAUGUUGGGUUAAGUCCCGCAACGAGCGCAACCCUUGCCAUUAGUUGCUACGCAAGAGCACUCUAAUGGGACCGCUACCGACAAGGUGGAGGAAGGUGGGGACGACGUCAAAUCAUCAUGCCCCUUAUGACCUGGGCUACACACGUAAUACAAUGGCCGUUAACAAUGGGAAGCAAUGCCGCGAGGCGGAGCAAACCCCCAAAAACGGUCUCAGUUCGGAUCGCAGGCUGCAACCCGCCUGCGUGAAGUUGGAAUUGCUAGUAAUCGCGGAUCAGCAUGCCGCGGUGAAUACGUUCCCGGGCCUUGUACACACCGCCCGUCACACCAUGGGAGUUUGUAACACCCGAAGUCAUUAGUCUAACCGCAAGGAGGACGGUGCCGAAGGUGGGAUAAGCGACUGGGGUGAAGUCGUAACAAGGUAACC
Molecule: ribosomal RNA, 1485 nt
Filed under: uncultured rumen bacterium
Lineage: Bacteria
Description: bacterial SSU rRNA
Rfam family: Bacterial small subunit ribosomal RNA
Source: RNAcentral